AGGUACCGUCACAUUAUGGCCAUUUCCUACCAUAACUGUUCUUCCCUUAUAACAGAGCUUUACAAUCCGAAGACCUUCAUCACUCACGCGGCAUUGCUCCAUCAGGCUUUCGCCCAUUGUGGAAUAUUCCCUA
Molecule: ribosomal RNA, 133 nt
Filed under: uncultured bacterium
Lineage: Bacteria
Description: partial 16S ribosomal RNA
Source: RNAcentral